This 113-nucleotide Y RNA is filed under the name Prolemur simus (greater bamboo lemur). RNAcentral's name for it is "Y RNA (ENSPSMG00000014414.1)". It matches the Rfam family "Y RNA". Rfam says of the family: Y RNAs are components of the Ro ribonucleoprotein particle (Ro RNP), in association with Ro60 and La proteins. The Y RNAs and Ro60 and La proteins are well conserved, but the function of the Ro RNP is not known. In humans the RNA component can be one of four small RNAs -- hY1, hY3, hY4 and hY5. The record is from Rfam by way of RNAcentral. Lineage: Eukaryota; Metazoa; Chordata; Mammalia; Primates; Lemuridae.
AGCUGGUCCAAAGGUAGUGAAUUACAUCCCUUGAUUGUUCACAGCCAGUUACAGACAGAACUCCCUGUUCUACUCUUUCUCUCCUUCUCACUAUUGCACUUGACUAGUAAAAA